RNAcentral lists this non-coding RNA (161 nucleotides) under human gut metagenome. RNAcentral's name for it is "Lysine riboswitch". It matches the Rfam family "Lysine riboswitch aptamer". From Rfam's summary of the family: Riboswitches are metabolite binding domains within certain messenger RNAs that serve as precision sensors for their corresponding targets. Allosteric rearrangement of mRNA structure is mediated by ligand binding, and this results in modulation of gene expression. This family includes riboswitches that sense lysine in a number of genes involved in lysine metabolism, including lysC. The record is from RNAcentral.
UGAUAGAGGCGCGGUUCUCAUGAGUACCACCGGACAAGGGCAGGCAGCCGUCCGUGGGAAAGGGAGCGCCGCCGAAGGGAGUGCCGCUGCCUGGCGGUGCUUGGCCUGGGCCGCCGGGGAAAACCCGUCGGACUGUCACAAGUGUGUGAAGCGCUAUCUGG